AGAGAGAGACAUGCGCGCAUAUCAAUAAGCGGAGGAAAAGAAACUAACAAGGAUUCCCUUAGUAACGGCGAGUGAAGCGGGAAGAGCUCAAAUUUGAAAUCUUCAAGGUUUUACCUUGACGAAUUGUAGUUUAAAGAAGUGUUUUCUGUUGAAGUUUUGGUAAAAGUUCUUUGGAAUAGGACAUCAUAGAGGGUGAGAAUCCCGUAUUUGACCAUUAUCUUCCAGCUUUGUGAUACACUUUCAAAGAGUCGGAUUGUUUGGGAAUGCAGUCCAAAAUGGGUGGUAAAUUUCAUCUAAAGCUAAAUAUUGGCGAGAGACCGAUAGCGAACAAGUACCGUGAGGGAAAGAUGAAAAGAACUUUGAAAAGAGAGUUAAACAGUACGUGAAAUUGUCAAAAGGGAAGCGUUUGACACCAGUGUUGUUUUCCUCGAAAAUCAAUUAAAAAAGGCAGGAUUUUGUGUUGUAUUGACUUUAUCAGCUUUCUGCACUCUUUUCUUGUCUUUUUUAAUGCACUUUUCGUUUAACAAGUCAACAUCAAUUUCUUUUGUUGUAAAAGGGUCAUUGGAAGGUGGCUUUCUUUUCGGAGAAAGUGUUUAUAGCCUUUGGCCUCUGCAAUCGGAGAGAUUGAGGUCUGCAGCGUAGAUCCUUCGGGGUUAGAUACAUUUGUGCUAAGUUAUAGCCUUUCAUAGACAACUUGUUGACUAUGAUCAGUCAUGUAGCUUACUCGCUUAUGCUAUUUUACCUACGCUUAGGAUGUUGAUGUGAUACUGCGAGCA
RNAcentral lists this ribosomal RNA (776 nucleotides) under uncultured Neocallimastigales. RNAcentral describes it as "partial large subunit ribosomal RNA". It matches the Rfam family "Eukaryotic large subunit ribosomal RNA", at positions 23 to 646 of the family's 3401-position model. The record is from RNAcentral. Lineage: Eukaryota; Fungi; Neocallimastigomycota; Neocallimastigomycetes; Neocallimastigales.